GAUGAACGCUGGCGGCGUGCCUAAUACAUGCAAGUCGAGCGAACGGACGAGAAGCUUGCUUCUCUGAUGUUAGCGGCGGACGGGUGAGUAACACGUGGAUAACCUACCUAUAAGACUGGGAUAACUUCGGGAAACCGUAGCUAAUACCGGAUAAUAUUUUGAACCGCAUGGUUCAAAAGUGAAAGACGGUCUUGCUGUCACUUAUAGAUGGAUCCGCGCUGCAUUAGCUAGUUGGUAAGGUAACGGCUUACCAAGGCAACGAUGCAUAGCCGACCUGAGAGGGUGAUCGGCCACACUGGAACUGAGACACGGUCCAGACUCCUACGGGAGGCAGCAGUAGGGAAUCUUCCGCAAUGGGCGAAAGCCUGACGGAGCAACGCCGCGUGAGUGAUGAAGGUCUUCGGAUCGUAAAACUCUGUUAUUAGGGAAGAACAUAUGUGUAAGUAACUGUGCACAUCUUGACGGUACCUAAUCAGAAAGCCACGGCUAACUACGUGCCAGCAGCCGCGGUAAUACGCAGGUGGCAAGCGUUAUCCGGAAUUAUUGGGCGUAAAGCGCGCGUAGGCGGUUUUUUAAGUCUGAUGUGAAAGCCCACGGCUCAACCGUGGAGGGUCAUUGGAAACUGGAAAACUUGAGUGCAGAAGAGGAAAGUGGAAUUCCAUGUGUAGCGGUGAAAUGCGCAGAGAUAUGGAGGAACACCAGUGGCGAAGGCGACUUUCUGGUCUGUAACUGACGCUGAUGUGCGAAAGCGUGGGGAUCAAACAGGAUUAGAUACCCUGGUAGUCCACGCCGUAAACGAUGAGUGCUAAGUGUUAGGGGGUUUCCGCCCCUUAGUGCUGCAGCUAACGCAUUAAGCACUCCGCCUGGGGAGUACGACCGCAAGGUUGAAACUCAAAGGAAUUGACGGGGACCCGCACAAGCGGUGGAGCAUGUGGUUUAAUUCGAAGCAACGCGAAGAACCUUACCAAAUCUUGACAUCCUUUGACAACUCUAGAGAUAGAGCCUUCCCCCUCGGGGGACAAAGUGACAGGUGGUGCAUGGUUGUCGUCAGCUCGUGUCGUGAGAUGUUGGGUUAAGUCCCGCAACGAGCGCAACCCUUAAGCUUAGUUGCCAUCAUUAAGUUGGGCACUCUAAGUUGACUGCCGGUGACAAACCGGAGGAAGGUGGGGAUGACGUCAAAUCAUCAUGCCCCUUAUGAUUUGGGCUACACACGUGCUACAAUGGACAAUACAAAGGGCAGCGAAACCGCGAGGUCAAGCAAAUCCCAUAAAGUUGUUCUCAGUUCGGAUUGUAGUCUGCAACUCGACUACAUGAAGCUGGAAUCGCUAGUAAUCGUAGAUCAGCAUGCUACGGUGAAUACGUUCCCGGGUCU
RNAcentral lists this ribosomal RNA (1372 nucleotides) under uncultured bacterium. Its description in RNAcentral is "bacterial SSU rRNA". It matches the Rfam family "Bacterial small subunit ribosomal RNA", at positions 28 to 1381 of the family's 1533-position model. The record is from RNAcentral.